This 242-nucleotide ribosomal RNA is filed under the name uncultured bacterium. RNAcentral describes it as "partial 16S ribosomal RNA". It matches the Rfam family "Bacterial small subunit ribosomal RNA", at positions 90 to 334 of the family's 1533-position model. The record is from RNAcentral.
GGCGAGUGGCGAACGGGUGAGUAAUACAUCGGAACGUACCCUAGUGUGGGGGAUAGCUUGGCGAAAGCCAAAUUAAUACCGCAUACGCUCCAAGGGGGAAAGCAGGGGACCUUCGGGCCUUGUGCACUGGGAUCGGCCCGAUGUCAGAUUAGGUAGUUGGUGGGGUAAAGGCCUACCAAGCCUGCGAUCUGUAGCUGGUUUGAGAGGAUGAUCAGCCACACUGGGACUGAGACACGGCCCAG